CUUUGGUUUAGCUCAGAGUUCUGUUUGGCAGGGCACUUUGACAUCAGGCAACUAUGACUGGAAAGGACUCUGUGUGACACGAGUGAAGGUCCCGAGAUGACAUGAGGGAGCGAAGAGAACAGUGGUGUGGGAUGCGGGACUGAUUCAGAUGGUCCACAGCAGCAGACUAUUUGCGUCCUGCGGGCUCUGAGAGGAGCCCUUUGCCAGCUGCAGAUAGUUUAAAUCUGAGGACUCUGGAGAGAGAAUGAAUGCCAGAGGCCAGAGAGUGUGGAACUGGGAGAAAGAACAAGGCUGCUGCUGCUUCCCUGCUGUGGCUCCUGGUUGCUGUUGUGAGACAGGAAGUUGAAGAUCUCCUGAACUGGCUCCAAGGAACCUGACAACCCUAACCAGCAGGAAGCUGCAAAGAAAGAACUGUGCCCCCUCUGCCACUAACGCUUUUCUCUCCUACCUGGUGUUGGGGUGUUGGAAGGGAUUGGGGUGGAGUAGGGAGAAAAAGAUAAAAGAAAUGUAAAUAAAAGAGUUUUUAAAAGCUAACUCCAA
This is a long non-coding RNA of Meriones unguiculatus (Mongolian gerbil), 540 nucleotides long. RefSeq lists it as uncharacterized. NCBI's taxonomy places the organism in Eukaryota, Metazoa, Chordata, Mammalia, Rodentia, Muridae. The transcript is spliced from 2 exons. The record is from RefSeq and is a predicted model, not a curated record.